RNAcentral lists this non-coding RNA (1323 nucleotides) under Capsicum annuum. RNAcentral describes it as "Eukaryotic large subunit ribosomal RNA". It matches the Rfam family "Eukaryotic large subunit ribosomal RNA", at positions 1891 to 3260 of the family's 3401-position model. Lineage: Eukaryota; Viridiplantae; Streptophyta; Magnoliopsida; Solanales; Solanaceae. The record is from Rfam by way of RNAcentral.
UGGAACAAUAUGGGUAAGGAAAGUUGGCAAAAUAGAUCUAUAACUUUGGAAAAAAAGAUCAGCUCUGAGGGCUGGGCACAGGGGUCCUAGUCCCAAACCCAUUGGCUAUCAGUGGACUGCUCAAGCUUCUCCCAUAGAUAGAGUGGUUCAUCGCGUGUCGGCCCGGGGACGAUCUGGGAACGAUUCCUUCGGGUUCCCCGCGUGUCAAACAACAAACUUAGAAAUUGUACGGACAAGGGGAAUCCAAUUAUUUAAUUAAAAAAAGCAUUACGAUAGUCCCAAUGAAUGUUCACGUAAUAUGAUUUCUGCCUAGUGCUCUGAAUGUCAAAGUGAAAAAAUUCAACCAAGUGCAAGUAAAUGAUAGAGUAGCUAUGACUCUCUUAAGUUAGCCAAAUGCCUCUUCAUCUAAUUAUUGACGCACAUGAAUGGAUUAAAGAGAUUCCCACUAUCCCUGUCUACUAUCCAACGAAACUACAACCAAGUGAACGGGUAGAAUUAGCGGGGAAAAAAGACUAGUCUAACUUUAGGAAAUGACUUGAUAAGUAUAGUAUAAGUUGGAGACGAAAGGCGAAAGUGAAAUACCACGAAUUUAAAUGUUAUUUUACUUAUUUUGUGAACUGAAAGUGGCGCAUUGCUCUUUUUGGACCCAUAACUCGCUCCACGGGCUGAUCUAGGCAAAAACAUUAUCAGAUGGGGAGUUUGGAUAGGGCGGAACUUCUGUUAAAGAUAACACAAGUGUCUUAAGAUGAGCUCAAUGAGAAUUAAAAUAUUAUAUGGAACAAAAGGGUAAAAGCUCAUUUGAUUCUAAUGUCCAGUAUGAAUAUGAACCGUGAAAGCAUGUUCUAACGAUCCUUUAGACCUUUAGAAUUUGAAGUUAGAGGUGUCAGAAAAGUUACCAUAGGGAUAACUGGUUUGUGGUAGCCAAGAGUUCAUAGCGAUUUUACUUUUUGAUCCUUUGAUGUCGGCUCUUCCUAUUAUUAUGAAGCAAAAUUCACCAAGUAUUGGAUUGUUCACCCACCAAUAGGGAAUGUGAGAUGAAUUUAGACUGUCGUAAGACAGAUUAGUUUUACCCAAUUGAUGACAGUGUCACAAUAGUAAUUCAACCUAGUACGAGAGGAACCAUUGAUUUGCACAAUUAGUCAUCACGCUUGGUUAGAGCGAAACUACCAUUUGCUGGAUUAUGAUUAAAUACCUCUAAGUCAGAAUUAGGGAUAAAAGCGAUGCAUGCACCUGCUGUCCGCUUACCAACUCGCAAUAGGUACCUCAGAACCCAAGGACACGUGUUAUUGGCUAAGCCAUCACGGCGGAAGGGUCGCGGUGGCC